Small nuclear RNA from Molossus molossus (Pallas's mastiff bat), 105 nucleotides. The record is from RefSeq and is a predicted model, not a curated record. NCBI's taxonomy places the organism in Eukaryota, Metazoa, Chordata, Mammalia, Chiroptera, Molossidae.
GUGCUCACUUCGGUACACAUAUAUUAAAAUUGGAACAAUACAGAGAACAUUAGUAUGGCCCCUGUGCAAGGAUACAUGCAAAUUCGUGAAGCAUUCCAUAUUUUU